UGGAGUGAGCUGAAGUUUAUUUAAAAAUGGAACAAUCCAGAGAACAUGCAUGUCUGAAAGAAUAUCCAAAAAACGUCUUGAACUAGAUGUCUUUAAGACGUUUUUCAAACAUUUUCAAAAGAUAUCAGAAAAUUCAAGUUUUAAAACAUGUUUCUACAACUAUACUAUUAUACAAAGCUAUCUGUAAACAUGUUGACAUAAGGAAGAAUGCAAAGCAGCAGAUGAAAUUAAGUGCAACAAUUUAUUAGAGACAUAAGCAAUUAUAGGCUUGCAUGAUUUUUGUGAGACAUGCUUGAUUAUCUGGGAC
Molecule: long non-coding RNA, 307 nt
Organism: Trachymyrmex septentrionalis
Lineage: Eukaryota; Metazoa; Arthropoda; Insecta; Hymenoptera; Formicidae
Exons: 3
Source: RefSeq, a predicted model, not a curated record